This 645-nucleotide long non-coding RNA is filed under the name Oryzias sinensis (Chinese medaka). Its description in RNAcentral is "lncRNA (ENSOSIG00000021336.1)". Lineage: Eukaryota; Metazoa; Chordata; Actinopteri; Beloniformes; Adrianichthyidae. The record is from RNAcentral.
GUGCAUUCAUACCUGCGCAAAAGCUGACCAUUUGUGUUUUUUUGUUUUUGUGUGUGCAGGGAACCCGAGUAUCGUUUCUCCAACCUGCGCAGUCAGGAUGACAGCAGCUGCAUCACAGCAGACCUGCUGAGUACUACCAGCAGCAACGGUACAGUGUACCAGCAGGAAUCGGAUAACUUGAUCUUACAGGAUUUCACAGGAUCAGUGAAGCACAGCUCCAUUUCCCUGACAUGAUGAACGCUCAUCGUUGAAAGCCUCUGCACUAAAAACUAACCGCAAGCCACGCUUUCUUGGAAACGUCCCACCACUUUCAUGGAAGCCCCUUUGUGUCAAGUUUUUAUUUUUUAAUUAAUUAAAUAUUAAUGUUAUUCAUUUUUAUUUAUUAAGCACAGUUCUCAAGUUUCUUUUGUCUCUCUUUGAUUGCUGUAUUGGUUUGUUAUUGUUUUGUAAGCUUGUGAAAAUGAAAAGAAAUUUUAAAAAUCUUUAAAAACAAGCUGCAUUAAAAACCUUGUUGUUUGUUCAUUUGGUUAUAUUUGUCUAAGCUAUAUUUUUUGUUUUGUAAUAUUUUUUAUCAAAUGUUCACAGGAUUUCUUAGUAACACAUGAAAAAAAGUUUUAUGAAGUAAGGUGCUUUUCUUAUGCAGUU